AACGCGAAGAACCUUACCCAGGUUAGAAGUGCAGGAGACGAUAGCAGAGAUGCUAUUUCCCGAAAGGGCUGCUGUAUAGGUGCUGCAUGGCUGUCGUCAGCUCGUGCCGUGAGGUGUUGGGUUAAGUCCCGCAACGAGCGCAACCCUUAUCAUUAGUUGCCAACACGAGAGGUGGGGACUCUAAUGAGACUGCCUAGGUUAACUAGGAGGAAGGUGAGGAUGACGUCAAGUCCGCAUGGCCUUUAUGUCUGGGGCUACACACGUGCUACAAUGGUCGGUACAGAAGGCAGCAAAAUCGUGAGAUGAAGCAAAUCCCCAAAGCCGAUCCCAGUUCAGAUUGUAGUCUGCAACUCGACUACAUGAAGUUGGAAUUGCUAGUAAUGACGUGUCAGCAACAACGUCGUGAAUACGUUCCCGGGCCUUGUA
Molecule: ribosomal RNA, 426 nt
Filed under: uncultured Chlamydiae bacterium
Lineage: Bacteria; Pseudomonadati; Chlamydiota; Chlamydiia
Description: bacterial SSU rRNA
Rfam family: Bacterial small subunit ribosomal RNA
Source: RNAcentral